Molecule: RNA transcript, 5414 nt
Organism: Setaria italica (foxtail millet)
Lineage: Eukaryota; Viridiplantae; Streptophyta; Magnoliopsida; Poales; Poaceae
Gene name: putative disease resistance protein RGA3
Exons: 3
Source: RefSeq, a predicted model, not a curated record
GCCACAAAUUAUUGUCUGCCUUCACUCAAUCCAUACCAAGCACCUUUGUUUCCCUGCGUUGUGUUGUGAGCUCCAGGCGUUGCCAUGGCUGAGGUACUGGCCACCAUGGUGGUCGGGCCACUGCUGUCCAUGGUGAAGGAGAAGGCCUCCAGCUACCUCCUGGACCAGUACCAGGUGAUGGAGGGCAUGGAGGAGCAGCACAAGCUCCUGAAGCGCAAGCUGCCGGCCAUCCUCGAUGUCAUCGCCGAUGCCGAGCAGCAGGCGGCGAAACAGAGAGAAGGGGCCAAAGCUUGGCUGGAGGAGGUCCGGACGGUGGCCUACAAGGCGAAUGAUGUCCUCGACGAGUUCAAGUACGAGGCGCUUCGCCGCAAAGCCAAGGCGGAGGGUCACUACAAGGCGCUCGGCAUGGAUGUAAUAAAGCUCUUCCCAUCUCACAACCGUUUUGUGUUCCGUUAUAAGAUGGCAAAAAGGCUCUGCAUGAUCUUGCAAGAAAUUGAUGUCCUCAUCGUAGAGAUGAAUACAUUCAGGUUCGAAUUCAAACAGCAGCCGCAAAUGCCCAUGCAAUGGAGGCAGACGGAUGCUUGCAUCCCCACUGAGUCUGUGGACAUUGCCAGCGAAUCAAGAGCUCAAGAGACGAAGGAUCUUGUUCAUCAAUUGCUCAAGAGCAGUAAGGAUCGAUUGCUUGCUGGAGCCAGUAGUAAGGAUCUCAUGGUCCUUCCGAUAGUCGGAAUGGGGGGGUUGGGCAAGACCACCUUAGCACAGCUCGUUUACAAUGACACUGAAAUUAAGAAGCAUUUCGAGUUGCGGCUCUGGGUGUGUGUCUCUGAUGAUUUUGAUGUCGAUUCCCUGGCUAACAGAAUAGUGAAAGAGAAUGGUUGUGAAGCAAGUGGAAGUUCAUCAGCACUGGACAAUCUUCAAAAGGUAGUGAGUGGGAAGAGGUACCUCCUCGUAUUGGAUGAUGUGUGGAACCGUGAUGAGCCCAGCAAGUGGGAAAGGCUGAAGUCCUACCUUCAGCAUGGUGGCAGCGGUAGCUCAGUGCUGACAACAACUCGCGAUGAAGCUGUUGCUAAACUAAUGAUGGGUACAACUGAAGGAGCCUAUAAACUUGGAAGCUUGGAUGAAGAGUCCUUAGGGAAAAUUAUCAAGGCAAGAGCAUUAUUCGGUUCAAAACAGCCUGGUGAACUAGUUAACAUGGUUGGUGAAGUUGCCAAGAGAUGUGCUGGUUCUCCUUUAGCUGCUACAGCAUUGGGCUCUUUACUGGGUACCAAGACCAGCAAGCAAGAAUGGGAGGAUGUAAUAAAUGGAAGCACGAUUUGUGAUGAGGAAAAUGGGAUUUUACCAGUACUUAAACUAAGUUACAAUUGCUUGCCAUCAUACAUACGGCAAUGCUUUGCUUUCUGUGCUAUGUUUCCCAAGGAUUAUGAGAUUGACGUGCAAAUGCUAAUCCACUUGUGGAUGGCCAAUGGUUUUAUCCCAGAGCAAUCAAAAGUGUGUCCUGAAACUUUUGGAGAAAGAAUUUUCAUUGAGCUGAAGUCAAGGUCAUUUUUUCAGGAUUUGAAGAAUGUCCCAUUUGAUGAAAAAUAUUUUAGUUAUGCAAAGGGUAAAAAGGACAUGUAUUGUUCUAGAAUUACUUGUAAGAUCCAUGACCUUAUGCAUGAUGUUGCACAGUCUGCUAUGGGAGAAGAAUGUGCUGCAAUAGCUACACACCCAAGCGAAAGAGAGGAUGUUCUUCGUUCAGUCCGUCACUUGUAUUUGUUAAUCUAUCGACGAGAAACUCUUCUGAAUGCUGAGAAAGGAUCUCCAGCUUUCCAAACACUGAUUUGUGACGGAUAUGAAGGAGAUUUGAAGAUUUUAUCAAAAUACAACUCUAUAAGAGCUUUAAAGAAUAAUAUCUAUUGUGGUUCAAUCCUAAGGCCGAAAUAUCUUCAUCACCUGAGGUAUCUUGAUCUCUCAGGAAGUUUUUUUGUAGCACUUCCUGAAGACAUCAGCAUCCUAUAUCAUCUGCAAACACUGAACCUUUCUUACUGUCAUCGUCUUGAACGACUUCCAAAGCAACUGAAGUAUUUGACUGCCCUCCGUCACCUCAACACUCACAGAUGUGAGCAGUUGAAAAGCAUGCCUGCAGAGCUCGGACGCCUAACUUCCCUACAGACGCUUACAGACUUUGUAGCAGGUGCCGACGACUCCGGUUGCAGUAAUUUGGGAGAGCUGCAGAAUUUGGACCUUGGUGGUACACUGGAGCUAAGCAAGCUAGAAAAUGUGACAGGAGCAGAUGCACAAGCAGCAGGUCUUGGAAACAAGAAAAAACUGACCGAACUGGUGUUAUAUUGGACCGAUAGUAACCAGGAAGCACAGAAUAAUAAUCAUAAAGAGGUGGUGGAAGGUCUCAAACCUCAUGAUGGGUUGAAGGCUCUGAGGAUAAAUCAAUGUGGGAGCAGAACUUUUCCAACUUGGAUGAAUACUUUGAAAGGCAUGGUGGAGCUCAAAUUAUUCGUUUGCAAAAAGCUCGAAGAGCUUCCUGCACUCUGGGAGCUACCAGCUCUGCAAAUUCUUCACCUGGAGGGUCUGGAGAGUUUACAUUGUUUGUGCAGCGGUGGUACUACACCCGUCACAUUUCCAAAACUGAAGGUGCUUACCUUGUUAAAAAUGGCAAAAUUUGAGGCAUGGUGGGAGACACAUGAGGUACAAGGAGAAGAGCCCAUAUUUCCCAAGGUCGAGGAGCUGGAGAUUAAGGAGUGUAACAGUUUGACUGCAUUACCAAAAGCAACGUCGGUGAUUACAGAAUUGUCUGGCAGAGUUGACACUAAGUGCCGCUCUGCAUUUCCAGCAUUGAGGAAAAUGAUCCUAUUUGAGUUGACUAUGUUUGAAAGAUGGGAGGCAGGCGAAGGAAUUUCAGGCGAAGAGGUAACCUUUCCUCAGCUCGAGGAGCUGUCAAUCAUGUAUUGUCAAAGCCUGAGUGCACUACCAAAUGGAGCUGAAACUGUGUGGUGCCGCUCUGCAUUUCCAGCACUGAGGAAACUAGAAUUAUCUAGUUUGUCGGCCCUUGAGAGGUGGGGGGCAGCUGAAGGAACUCCAGGAGAAGAGGUAACCUUUCCUCAGCUCGAGGAGCUGACAAUCGGGUCUUGUCGCAGCCUGAGUGCACUACCAAAAGGGCCAUUAUUGGCUAAGCAACCAUUUGGCAGAGCUGGAACUGUGUGCUGCCGCUCUGCAUUUCCAGCACUGAGAAAACUAAAAUUAUUUUUUUUGUCAGCUCUUGAGAGGUGGGGGGCAGCCGAAGGAACUCCAGGAGAAGAGGUCACAUUUCCUCUGCUGGAGAACUUGAGUAUCGAUGAUUGCCCGAAGUUGACUGAUCUACCUGAAGCACCGAAGCUAAGUGAAUUAUCCAUAAGAACAUAUGGUGAUCAGCAAAUAUCGCUAGAGGCAGCUAGCAGAUGCAUCCCUUCAUUGUCCCGUCUGCAUCUGGAUGUGUCGCCCGAUGACACAGAAACAACAUUGCUGCAUGUCAAGAAGAAAUUGAAUGGUACACUCGCCCUACCAGCUAUGAGGUUAGGUUGCUGCGACGUUUUUUUCUCCUCCCGCUCAAGCGCACUGGCGCUAUGGACAUGUUUUGCACAGCUAGUAGAUUUGAAGAUUUGGUGUUGCGAUGCUCUUGUCUACUGGCCAGAAAACGUGUUCCAGGUCCUAGUAUGCCUGAGGAACUUACAUAUUUCCACAUGUAGCAAACUGACAGGACGCACACAAGCUUCUGAUGAGCAAUCUGCUCCAGCUCCAGAACGUGGUGGACUCCUGCCAUGCCUGGAGUCUCUAAGGAUAGAUUAUUGUCCAUCUUUGGUAGAGGUCCCCAUCCUGCCGGCAUCUCUUAAGACAUUACAUAUUGAAGGCUGUGAUGAAAUCGAGUCCAUCGUAUUCUGUCACCCGGAGGAUACGAGAUUGGUGAGUGGAGAAGGUGUUGUACGGCCGGAUACGUCAUCAUUAAUUCCAGGGUCUACAGCUGUACUGAAGCUGUCAUCUGGAGCCAACCAUCGUUUCCUUCCAUUUCCAUGCCUAGAAUAUCUACUUAUAUGGUAUUGCAGUGGCUUGUCAGAGGUUGCCAAUCUUCCUCCGUCUAUCAAGACCUUGGACAUUUAUUCCUGUAACAAUCUUCAAUCCCUAUCAGGAGACCUCCCGUUGCUGGAAAAACUCGACCUUUUUAGAUGCGAAAGACUGGUAUCCUUACCGGAUGGGCCUCAAGCAUACUCAUCUCUUAGAGUUCUUCGGAUAAUGAAUUGUGAUGGUAUAAAGUUGCUUCCGCCAAACCUUCAGAGCCGUUUGGGUUACCUUGAGAAGAAAGAUCUAGAUGCCCGUUACGAAGAACCAACCUGGAAACGUUCGAUCAGGAAGCUGGUGUGCUUGAAAUAGUAGAUCAAGACCUGACCAAAGAAAGUUAUUUCCAAGGUAUUUUUGCAAAAACGUCACCAAGGAUCGUGCUAGAUCUGCAAAAGAUGGAUUAUUGUGACUCUUGUUUAGAAUGUAUCAUAUGCGCAUUCUCUCCAGUAAAGUUAAGGCAAAGUCCUAGAUUUUGAGCAGAAAACAAGUCCUAGAUUGCAAGCUGAAGAAUUUAGCACACAGAGCUGCAUGCUCCAGUCUUUUAUCCUUAUUUUUUUCUUUUGAACUAUGACGUGUUUGCAUUCGUGUCUGCUUCAGCCUCCAGCACAAGCGAAACACGGGCAGCACUUCCAUUUUAUGAUUUGUUUAUCCACAUACAUGUCCGAUUGACCGCAGAGGAUACUUUGCCAUAGAGUAGACCAACAGUCCAACGUACUCAUGUUGUUGCUCGACAAGCUGUCCAAGCUGCUGCUUGAUAUGAACUGAAAGUGCUGAGUUUUCUCCCGUGUAUGUUCUGUGUAUCAAAUACUGAAUGGUGUGCAGGGUGAUCCUCCAUCCUGGAAUGGCACGGUCUUGUGCAGAGGUCUCAUUGUUGUUGACCUGUUUCUUCAAAACUGCAUGUGCAGCAACAUUUUCUCCUGGCAGUGCUGCAAUGGAAUUGAAAAGAAUGGUGAUUGUUAUAGUAUAAUUGUCAUAUAUAGUCUGGGACACAAAACAAUGGAGGUACAUGAGCAAGGAAGAAGCUCUGGAGGCAGGGGAUGGAACAGAACAGAGACACGGACUCUGUCUUCUUCCGAAUGCAGCUCCUCUGUAUUGGCGAUGAAGGACCCUACAAGUUGGUUCUCAUAGACAGAAUUGAGAGCUACGGAUGUCCGCUCCCAAGAACGAACUGCCAGAGCAAGAAGAUGAACGUAAUCUGUAUAGAUAAAAAAAUUUAACAGAAGUUUUCAUGAGUUAUCCUUUGUCUGGGGCCAUAGUACAAACCCUGCAUUUCGAAUUUGGGACUGCCCUCCUGUAUGGUGUGACCUAAAUUUUAACAAAAAUUAUCC